AUGCAGUCGAGCGGUAGCACAGAGAGCUUGCUCUCGGGUGACGAGCGGCGGACGGGUGAGUAAUGUCUGGGAAACUGCCUGAUGGAGGGGGAUAACUACUGGAAACGGUAGCUAAUACCGCAUAAUGUCGCAAGACCAAAGUGGGGGACCUUCGGGCCUCAUGCCAUCAGAUGUGCCCAGAUGGGAUUAGCUAGUAGGUGGGGUAACGGCUCACCUAGGCGACGAUCCCUAGCUGGUCUGAGAGGAUGACCAGCCACACUGGAACUGAGACACGGUCCAGACUCCUACGGGAGGCAGCAGUGGGGAAUAUUGCACAAUGGGCGCAAGCCUGAUGCAGCCAUGCCGCGUGUGUGAAGAAGGCCUUCGGGUUGUAAAGCACUUUCAGCGGGGAGGAAGGCGGUGAGGUUAAUAACCUUGGCGAUUGACGUUACCCGCAGAAGAAGCACCGGCUAACUCCGUGCCAGCAGCCGCGGUAAUACGGAGGGUGCAAGCGUUAAUCGGAAUUACUGGGCGUAAAGCGCACGCAGGCGGUCUGUCAAGUCGGAUGUGAAAUCCCCGGGCUCAACCUGGGAACUGCAUUCGAAACUGGCAGGCUAGAGUCUUGUAGAGGGGGGUAGAAUUCCAGGUGUAGCGGUGAAAUGCGUAGAGAUCUGGAGGAAUACCGGUGGCGAAGGCGGCCCCCUGGACAAAGACUGACGCUCAGGUGCGAAAGCGUGGGGAGCAAACAGGAUUAGAUACCCUGGUAGUCCACGCCGUAAACGAUGUCGAUUUGGAGGUUGUGCCCUUGAGGCGUGGCUUCCGGAGCUAACGCGUUAAAUCGACCGCCUGGGGAGUACGGCCGCAAGGUUAAAACUCAAAUGAAUUGACGGGGGCCCGCACAAGCGGUGGAGCAUGUGGUUUAAUUCGAUGCAACGCGAAGAACCUUACCUGGUCUUGACAUCCACAGAACUUUCCAGAGAUGGAUUGGUGCCUUCGGGAACUGUGAGACAGGUGCUGCAUGGCUGUCGUCAGCUCGUGUUGUGAAAUGUUGGGUUAAGUCCCGCAACGAGCGCAACCCUUAUCCUUUGUUGCCAGCGGUUCGGCCGGGAACUCAAAGGAGACUGCCAGUGAUAAACUGGAGGAAGGUGGGGAUGACGUCAAGUCAUCAUGGCCCUUACGACCAGGGCUACACACGUGCUACAAUGGCAUAUACAAAGAGAAGCGACCUCGCGAGAGCAAGCGGACCUCAUAAAGUAUGUCGUAGUCCGGAUUGGAGUCUGCAACUCGACUCCAUGAAGUCGGAAUCGCUAGUAAUCGUAGAUCAGAAUGCUACGGUGAAUACGUUCCCGGGCCUUGUACACACCGCCCGUCACACCAUGGGAGUGGGUUGCAAAAGAAGUAGGUAGCUUAACCUUCGGGAGGGCGCUUACCACUUUG
RNAcentral lists this ribosomal RNA (1416 nucleotides) under Klebsiella pneumoniae. RNAcentral describes it as "bacterial SSU rRNA". It matches the Rfam family "Bacterial small subunit ribosomal RNA". The record is from RNAcentral. Lineage: Bacteria; Pseudomonadati; Pseudomonadota; Gammaproteobacteria; Enterobacterales; Enterobacteriaceae.